This is a long non-coding RNA of Alligator sinensis (Chinese alligator), 3240 nucleotides long. RefSeq lists it as uncharacterized. Lineage: Eukaryota; Metazoa; Chordata; Crocodylia; Alligatoridae. The record is from RefSeq and is a predicted model, not a curated record. The transcript is spliced from 3 exons.
ACAUAGAGGGAGAGGGGAGAGGGAGAGGGAGAGGAGAGGAGAGGAGAGCGCGCGAGCGAGCAUAAAGCCUAUGAUAUGCAGAGUAUGCAAUCAGGACUGCUGCAACUCCGCAUGGGGGGAGCCACACAACAGAUCAUACCCAUAGCAAAUCAACGCCGCUUUCCAUAUAGGAAAGGGAGAGUGUGUGAGAAAGAGGGAGCCACAGGAGGAAGAGAGAGAGAGAGAGAAUGUGUGAGAGAGGAGGGGAAGAGGGGAAACUGCAGAGAGCGUGAAGAAAAAAGUACGAUAGGAGCCCAGACCCGGUUUGGUUUUCGCUAGCUUCUUUUACCAGCCAAAGCCUGCUUGUCUUUCACUGCGUUGCGUAGCCUGUGCUUAACGUGUUGUUUUGAACUGUGCAGCUAGGAUCGCAGCCGCGGCCGGGGUGCAAGGCUGAGGGCAGAGGCACGGAACAUGAACAUGUGCAGGGGGAUCUAAAGUUGCUCUGCCUUAGGAAACAAGCUUGCCUUAACAAAGUACCGCGCCGCUGCCAGAGCCUUGCCUUUCCAAGUGCGGAUGCUUUCCUAUGUGAAUUCAUUGUGCUUUUUAAAAAAAAAAAAAUUUUCCAGGGCAUGAAGAGAACACCUCGUUGAAACCAUAUUUGGCAUCGUUCUUCAUUAAGUGAUCGCUUCUAUCAACCACGUUGUGAUGGGGGGAGGGAGGGGAAGAGGGAGGGGGGAGAAAGAGAGAGGGAAUUCCCCUUCAGUGGUGUGAUGAGACUGGCAGCCUUUUGAAACAAAGUCCUGCUCACUCUUUUGUAUGCGAAGUCCAGCUGUUGGGCAGUUUGGUUUGGUUUGGUUUGCAUGUUCAUUUGGAGGCGAUCACUCGGUCUCGCGUGUGCACUGUCCGUAUGUGGGUCUGUUUCUAGAGCUUGUUAUGUAUCUGCGUUGUGUUUGUGGGGUGUAUGCUCAAGUAUUAACUCGGUAAUGCCUUCUAAUGGUAGUGCUAAUUAUAGUAGGGUUAUUUAGCAAAUUAAGUGAGACUGUGCACCCCCCUUGAGCACCAAAUGAACUUUUCCAAACACGCGCGCACGCACGCACGCACACACACACACACACACAUACACACACACGCACGCACGCACACGUUAAUUUUGGUAUGUUUCUCUUGCCCAAUCACUUUGCUGGAACUAAAACAUGCCUUACCUCAGAGCAGUCAAUUACCAAAGCUACCCGUGAUCAUCAAUCAUGGGGGAUGCUUGAAGUUUGGGGGAGGAGCGAUGGUCAAACUAUCGAUUGCUGCAGUUUUGUCCUACCCCCCCUCCCUUUCUCGUUCACGGUCCCCUGCACAUAAAAUCUAAAACAGACUAUCCCGUUAAUAGUGGGAUUUAUCAAUGAUUAUGUACCCAGUUGUGAAUGUGGCCUCAUGCAUAGAUGCCUUUUAAACAUACACCGCUCAAAAAAAAAAAAAAAAAAAAGUAUUUGAUCCAGCUAGGGCUUUUUAUUAUUAUUUUAAGAUUUUUGGAAAUUGGAAAAAAAAUGAAUCAAAGGGUAGUUAUAGAAAUUUGGCCAGAUUUUAAUGGGCAUACGGAAUGAGCUCCAGAGGUCAAUAAACCCCUCCAAAAUGAUGAAUGAUUGAGUACCUGUGAUGAUGAUAGUGAUUACCGGAGCAAUUAAACAGUUUGAUUAAAUGAGCCAUCAUAACAAUGAUGUCUGCGGGAAAUCAGCCCUCACAUAUAAAGAAAGAUAGUGUGGAGGGCUGACAACGCCAGUGGGCAUUCCUACGUGUUCUGAUAGUGUUGAGCCCUGCAGAGCAGACUAUUUACAAAUAUGAGGGCAAUAUGGAGAAAAGUCACUCAGAUACUUUUAGCCAGAGUUGCACCUUGCUUAAAAAUCGUCAGAAGCCGAAGAGCAGACCCGUUUUUUUCCUAGAGGAUCUCCUCCAAGAUUAAAGCUAGCCCUAAGAGCAACCGAUAUUCUGUGGCUGACUUUCACGGGACUGUAAAGAAAAGCCUCCCCUCCUCGCAGGCGCUGGCAGAGAUGGCCACGGGGGUUCCCCGCGCCCCACCGAGCAGCUGCUCCUGCCUGCUGAGCCCGGAGACCUCCAGAAAGCCCCUUAGCACGGCGAAGUCUGCGGCGAGGCAUGAUGGCCCGAGCCAGCGGGACACGAGCUUCGGCUGGCACAAAGGGAUCCCGCUUCAGACCUGGCCUGUUCCCUGGUCUAGUGGGGAGGCUGGAUGCUCUAUAGGAUGAUGCUACCUAUUAGUAUUACUAUUUUUCAGACUCAUCUCAAGUGGACUCCAGCAGCUCCUUGAAACACACCAGCCUGGGAACUUGAUCGGGUCUGGAUGGGCUAUGUAUUUUCACACAGUUUUCUAACUACUGAAGCCAAAAUAUUGCCUUCCUCAGGCCCCCUCCCCCCAGGAAUGUAGGUAAUGGGAUCAAAACGUCUGGGAUAUAUUUUCCCUCUUCUACAUUUCCUAGGGCACUGAGCAGUCCAAAGUUCUCCCAGCUUCCUGAAGCCAAAGGUAGCCCAUUACCUGUGAGCCCCACCUCUGAAUCAUUUCUGAGGAAAGCACGCAGUCUUCAGUGAAUGCACAUGGAAAACCUUGAAUUAACCUUUGCAGUAGAUUAAGUACCCCACUGACAUUAACUGAAUUCUUAUUGCCACUGGCCUGGCCUGUUUUAUUAUCACCCCUUCCAGAUCACCUAAGAGUAGGGAAACUUGCCCCAUCAAUUGCAAAUGAUAGAGAAAGAAACUGCACCUCCACUACAUUCAUUAUUAGAACAAAAUAAACAAAAGCUGUGAAACCUGCCUGUGUUCAGGGGGUAUGGGAGGGUUGAACUUUGCAAAUAGUUUUCUAUAAGUAGCUCACAUUUGCUGUGAUCUAUUGGUAUGAGUCAGGAACUGAGAGUUAUUGCAACCCUGUUCCCUCUAUUGGAUAAUUAAUACUGAUUCAUAGCUUUUUCUACCUACGACUGUGUGUUUCGUUUCCCUCUACAGGGUCCAUGGUUCACUGGUGUAUUGUUAUUCCCUGAAAGGUUUCAGCAAGAUGGUCCAAAAUAACAUCACAGUGUAAAGGACAGCCUUGCUACAAAAUGACCACCAUAAGAUGGAUGAAGAGGAAUGGCAAGAGACAAGAAAUCUCAAGACAUCACCACAUUCACCAGCAAUUUCAGUCUAAGGAAGUCUAGAUAGCUGUAGUCACUAUGUAUUACACCAAAACUGUACAUUUUAAAUAGUAAAUAAAUAAAUAAAUACAUA